This 586-nucleotide ribosomal RNA is filed under the name Metaperipatus inae. RNAcentral describes it as "12S ribosomal RNA". Lineage: Eukaryota; Metazoa; Onychophora; Udeonychophora; Euonychophora; Peripatopsidae. The record is from RNAcentral.
CUAAAUUCGUGCCAGCAGUUGCGGUUAUACGAAACUUUAUAAAAAUUUUAUAUUUAAAAAUUAAAAAUAUUUCUUAAUAAGUGAAAUUUAAAAUAUAUAAUAUUAAAUAUAAUCUUAUAGAUACAAACUAGGAUUAGAUACCCUGCUAUCCUAUAUAAAUAAAUAUAGAAGUAAUUUUUAAACUUAAAAAUUUGGCGGUAAUUAGUAUUAUAGAGGGAUAUGUAAUUAAACCGAUAUUACACGAUUUAACUUGCUUGAUAAAUAUCUAUAUACUUCCGUUGUCAGAUUUUCAAAUUUAAUAAGUUUCUAGAUAAUUAAUAUAAUAUUAUAACUUCAGGUCAAUGUGUAAUUAAAUCAAGAUAUUAUGUAUCAUAAUCAAAAAUUAUUGAAACAGUAUACUUCUUGUAAUAGAUUAUUAAGGUAAAUUUAUAAGUAAAAAGAAAAUAAAUUAUUUAUUUGAAAACUUACUAAUUAUGUACAUAUCGCCCGUCAUUUUUACUUUAAGUAAAACAAGUCGUAACAAAGUAGACCUAAUGGAAAUUAGGUCUAAGUUAAUAAUUUAAAUAUUUUAUUUACACUAAAAUAU